Long non-coding RNA from Macadamia integrifolia, 487 nucleotides. RefSeq lists it as uncharacterized. The transcript is spliced from 2 exons. The record is from RefSeq and is a predicted model, not a curated record. Lineage: Eukaryota; Viridiplantae; Streptophyta; Magnoliopsida; Proteales; Proteaceae.
GUAAGGAAUUAGCAGAAACCCAGAUUGGAAAUAAUUGGUAGAGUCAGAACUCAGAACUCGAAAGGAUUCAAGAAGAAGAAUAGUAUGCGACGCCUUCCCAGUUCCCUCCCUUCUUCGCUUCUUUCAAUGUUGUUCUUUUCUUUUGAAAACGCGGCACCGCGGUGUCUCUUGCCUCUUGUUACCAGUACGAUGGAUGGUGGAACUUUAAAGUGAGGUAUAGGUAAUGUGAUUAAUGAGUAACUGUGAAGUAUAGAACCAUUUUCCUAAUUUUCCAAUAUACAUCAUGAGGGGAAAAGAACGUUUCCUGAUCGUCCAAACAAAGGGGUGGCAUCUUGUUUGACUGUUCAGUUAGGAAGGCAUUGUCUUGUGUGUGAGAGACAUUUUGACAAUUUUCACUUGGUAGUUGUCUAAUAUUUGUAAUUUGCAAUAGACAUGCUUUAAUAAAUACAUAGGGGUGGUAAAAAGAUCACCCUGCUCCCUUCUUGGA